GAAAAAAAACAGUUUAGAAGUAGAGACU
This 28-nucleotide non-coding RNA is filed under the name Mus musculus (house mouse). The record is from RNAcentral. Lineage: Eukaryota; Metazoa; Chordata; Mammalia; Rodentia; Muridae.